AUUAGACUAUUAGACCAUAACAAGUCAACAAACAACCACUAAAAUGAAUAGAGUAGGAAAUUGGUUUUUAUAGUUUUAUUAGACUAUUAGACCAUAACAAGUAAACUAACAACCACUCAAAUGAAUGCAUAUACUAAAAAAAUGUGAAAAAACAACAUAAAUUUUUUAUUGAUGUCAUUUUAGAGAAUGGGAGUAAUAGUGUGUGAAAGAGUAAGAGAGUUAAGAAAUAAUAAAGUAGUAAAGGGAGGUGGGGGUGCAAAAAGUGAGAUGAAGUAAUAAUUAAAAAAAAAAAGAAAAAAAAAGAA
Molecule: long non-coding RNA, 305 nt
Organism: Magnolia sinica
Lineage: Eukaryota; Viridiplantae; Streptophyta; Magnoliopsida; Magnoliales; Magnoliaceae
Exons: 2
Source: RefSeq, a predicted model, not a curated record